This 254-nucleotide ribosomal RNA is filed under the name uncultured bacterium. Its description in RNAcentral is "partial 16S ribosomal RNA". It matches the Rfam family "Bacterial small subunit ribosomal RNA", at positions 524 to 776 of the family's 1533-position model. The record is from RNAcentral.
UACGUAGGGUGCGAGCGUUAAUCGGAUUUACUGGGCGUAAAGGGCGCGUAGGCGGUCAGCACAAGUCAGUUGUGAAAUCUCCGGGCUUAACUCGGAAAGGUCAACUGAUACUGUGCGACUAGAGUGCGGAAGGGGCAACUGGAAUUCUCGGUGUAGCGGUGAAAUGCGUAGAUAUCGAGAGGAACACCUGCGGCGAAGGCGGGUUGCUGGGCCGACACUGACGCUGAGGCGCGAAAGCCAGGGGAGCGAACGGG